Molecule: ribosomal RNA, 1547 nt
Filed under: metagenome
Description: bacterial LSU rRNA
Rfam family: Bacterial large subunit ribosomal RNA
Source: RNAcentral
UCUGAAACCACAGGAUGUCCUUCGGGACACGAGUUGGCGGAUGCGUGGGACCUGAUCUGGUAGUAGCCAAGCGAUGGGGUGACGCAGGAAGGUAGCUGGGCCAGUCAGUGGUUGUACUGGUGUAAGAGUGUAGGCCGUGACAUAGGCAAAUCCGUGUCACAUUAAGGCUGAGACUUGAUGCAUACCCGUUGUGGGGAAUUCAGUGAUCCUAUGCUGCCGAGAAAAGCCUCUAGUGAGUUCAUACACGGCCCGUACCCCAAACCGACACAGGUGAUCAGGUAGAGAAUACCAAGGCGAUCGAGAGAACUGUGGUUAAGGAACUCGGCAAAAUGCCCCCGUAACUUCGGGAGAAGGGGGACCAUGCCCGGUGAACAUCUUCACGGUGGGAGCUGGGUGUGGUCGCAGAGACCAGAGAGAAGCGACUGUUUACUAAAAACACAGGUCCGUGCGAAGACGUAAGUCGAUGUAUACGGACUGACGCCUGCCCGGUGCUGGAAGGUUAAGAGGACCGGUUAGCCGUAAGGCGAAGCUGAGAAUUUAAGCCCCAGUAAACGGCGGUGGUAACUAUAACCAUCCUAAGGUAGCGAAAUUCCUUGUCGGGUAAGUUCCGACCUGCACGAAUGCCGUAACGACUUCUCUGCUGUCUCGACCACAGACUCGGCGAAAUUGCACUACGAGUAAAGAUGCUCGUUACGCGCGGCAGGACGAAAAGACCCCGGGACCUUUACUAUAGCUUGGUAUUGGCGUUCGAUUCGGUUUGUGUAGGAUAGGUGGGAGACUGUGAAGCAUGCACGCCAGUGUGUGUGGAGUCGUUGUUGAAAUACCACUCUGAUCGUAUUGGACGUCUAACCUCGGCCCAUGAUCUGGGUUAGGGACAGUGCCUGGCGGGUAGUUUAACUGGGGCGGUUGCCUCCUAAAGAGUAACGGAGGCGCCCAAAGGUUCCCUCAGCCUGGAUGGCAAUCAGGUGUUGAGUGCAAGUGCACAAGGGAGCUUGACUGUGAGACUGACACGUCGAGCAGGGACGAAAGUCGGGACUAGUGAUCCGGCACCGGCAAGUGGAAGCGGUGUCGCUCAACGGAUAAAAGGUACCCCGGGGAUAACAGGCUGAUCUUCCCCAAGAGUCCAUAUCGACGGGAUGGUUUGGCACCUCGAUGUCGGCUCGUCGCAUCCUGGGGCUGGAGUAGGUCCCAAGGGUUGGGCUGUUCGCCCAUUAAAGCGGCACGCGAGCUGGGUUUAGAACGUCGUGAGACAGUUCGGUCUCUAUCCGCCGCGCGCGUAAGAAACUUGAGGAAGGCUGUCCCUAGUACGAGAGGACCGGGACGGACGAACCUCUGGUGUGCCAGUUGUUCCACCAGGAGCAUGGCUGGUUAGCUACGUUCGGAAGGGAUAACCGCUGAAAGCAUCUAAGCGGGAAGCCUGUUCCAAGAUGAGGUUUCUCACCACCUUGCGUGGUUAAGGCCCCCUACAGACCAUGGGGUUGAUAGGCCGGAACUGGAAGCGCAGCAAUGCGUGGAGGUGACCGGUACUAAUAAGCCGAGGGCUUACU